This 435-nucleotide ribosomal RNA is filed under the name uncultured Lachnospiraceae bacterium. Its description in RNAcentral is "partial 16S ribosomal RNA". It matches the Rfam family "Bacterial small subunit ribosomal RNA", at positions 341 to 792 of the family's 1533-position model. Lineage: Bacteria; Bacillati; Bacillota; Clostridia; Lachnospirales; Lachnospiraceae. The record is from RNAcentral.
ACGGAAGGCAGCAGUGGGGAAUAUUGCACAAUGGGCGAAAGCCUGAUGCAGCGACGCCGCGUGAGUGAAGAAGUAUUUCGGUAUGUAAAGCUCUAUCAGCAGGGAAGAAAAAUGACGGUACCUGACUAAGAAGCACCGGCUAAAUACGUGCCAGCAGCCGCGGUAAUACGUAUGGUGCAAGCGUUAUCCGGAUUUACUGGGUGUAAAGGGAGCGCAGGCGGUACGGCAAGUCUGAUGUGAAAGCCCGGGGCUCAACCCCGGUACUGCAUUGGAAACUGUCGAACUAGAGUGUCGGAGGGGUAAGCGGAAUUCCUAGUGUAGCGGUGAAGUGCGUAGAUAUUAGGAGGAACACCAGUGGCGAAGGCGGCUUACUGGACGAUAACUGACGCUGAGGCUCGAAAGCGUGGGGAGCAAACAGGAUUAGAUACCCUGGUA